CCGCCAUAGCUCAGUUGGUAGUAGCGCAUGACUGUUAAUCAUGAUGUCGUAGGUUCGAGUCCUACUGGCGGAG
RNAcentral lists this transfer RNA (73 nucleotides) under Streptococcus sp. RNAcentral's name for it is "tRNA-Asn(gtt)". It matches the Rfam family "tRNA". From Rfam's summary of the family: Transfer RNA (tRNA) molecules are approximately 80 nucleotides in length. Their secondary structure includes four short double-helical elements and three loops (D, anti-codon, and T loops). RNAcentral also lists the same sequence under 11 other names. The record is from RNAcentral. Lineage: Bacteria; Bacillati; Bacillota; Bacilli; Lactobacillales; Streptococcaceae.